Molecule: ribosomal RNA, 115 nt
Filed under: uncultured bacterium
Lineage: Bacteria
Description: partial 16S ribosomal RNA
Rfam family: Bacterial small subunit ribosomal RNA
Source: RNAcentral
CCCCGGGGCCUUGUACACACCGCCCGUCACACCACGAAAGUUGGGUGCAAACCAAAACCGGUGAUUCAACCCGCAAGGGAGAUAACCGACAAAGUUGUGACCAGUGAUUGGGGUG